RNAcentral lists this ribosomal RNA (212 nucleotides) under Hyphessobrycon agulha. RNAcentral describes it as "partial small subunit ribosomal RNA". Lineage: Eukaryota; Metazoa; Chordata; Actinopteri; Characiformes; Acestrorhamphidae. The record is from RNAcentral.
GGUAAAUCUCGUGCCAGCAACCGCGGUUACACGAGAGACCCUAGUCGAUAGAUACGGCGUAAAGAGUGGUUAGGGGUACAAAAUUUGAUAAAGUUAAACCACCUCCAAGCUGUUGAUAAGCACUACGAGACCAUGAAACCCAAUAACGAAAGUAACUUUAUUUUUCCUGAAUCCACGAAAGCUAAGAAACAAACUAGGAUUAGAUACCCCAC